This 393-nucleotide ribosomal RNA is filed under the name uncultured bacterium. Its description in RNAcentral is "bacterial SSU rRNA". It matches the Rfam family "Bacterial small subunit ribosomal RNA", at positions 30 to 423 of the family's 1533-position model. The record is from RNAcentral.
AUUGAACGCUGGCGGCAUGCCUUACACAUGCAAGUCGAACGGCAGCACGGGAGCAAUCCUGGUGGCGAGUGGCGAACGGGUGAGUAAUAUAUCGGAACGUGCCCAGUCGUGGGGAUAACGUAGCGAAAGCUACGCUAAUACCGCAUACUAUCUAUGGAUGAAAGCGGGGGAUCGCAAGACCUCGCGCGAUUGGAGCGGCCGAUAUCAGAUUAGGUAGUUGGUGAGGUAAAGGCUCACCAAGCCGACGAUCUGUAGCUGGUCUGAGAGGACGACCAGCCACACUGGGACUGAGACACGGCCCAGACUCCUACGGGAGGCAGCAGUGGGGAAUUUUUGGACAAUGGGCGCAAGCCUGAUCCAGCAAUGCCGCGUGCAGGAUGAAGGCCUUCGGUU